Molecule: ribosomal RNA, 266 nt
Filed under: uncultured bacterium
Lineage: Bacteria
Description: partial 16S ribosomal RNA
Rfam family: Bacterial small subunit ribosomal RNA
Source: RNAcentral
GUCCACGCCGUAAACGAUGAGCACUAGGUGUCGCGGGUAUUGACCCCUGCGGUGCCGACGCUAACGCAUUAAGUGCUCCGCCUGGGGACUACGGCCGCAAGGUUAAAACUCAAAGGAAUUGACGGGGGCCCCGCACAAGCGGUGGAGCAUGUGGUUCAAUUCGACGCAACGCGAAGAACCUUACCUGGGCUAGACAACGGAGGCCCGCCCCAGAGAUGGGGUUUUCCCUUCGGGGACUUCCGGUUCAGGUGCUGCAUGGCUGUCGU